RNAcentral lists this transfer RNA (71 nucleotides) under Stegodyphus mimosarum. It matches the Rfam family "tRNA". Rfam says of the family: Transfer RNA (tRNA) molecules are approximately 80 nucleotides in length. Their secondary structure includes four short double-helical elements and three loops (D, anti-codon, and T loops). Further hydrogen bonds mediate the characteristic L-shaped molecular structure. tRNAs have two regions of fundamental functional importance: the anti-codon, which is responsible for specific mRNA codon recognition, and the 3' end, to which the tRNAs corresponding amino acid is attached (by aminoacyl-tRNA synthetases). tRNAs cope with the degeneracy of the genetic code in two manners: having more than one tRNA (with a specific anti-codon) for a particular amino acid; and 'wobble' base-pairing, i.e. permitting non-standard base-pairing at the 3rd anti-codon position. The record is from Rfam by way of RNAcentral. Lineage: Eukaryota; Metazoa; Arthropoda; Arachnida; Araneae; Eresidae.
GCCUUUGUGGUGUAACGGUAGCACACUCGACGCGUAUUCGAGAGAUGUAAGUUCGAGUCCCAGCGAGGGCA